This 405-nucleotide ribosomal RNA is filed under the name Enterococcus durans. RNAcentral's name for it is "bacterial SSU rRNA". It matches the Rfam family "Bacterial small subunit ribosomal RNA", at positions 986 to 1394 of the family's 1533-position model. The record is from RNAcentral. Lineage: Bacteria; Bacillati; Bacillota; Bacilli; Lactobacillales; Enterococcaceae.
GUAGGUUGACACUCUAGAGAAGAGCUUCCCCUUCGGGGGCAAAGUGACAGGUGGUGCAUGGUUGUCGUCAGCUCGUGUCGUGAGAUGUUGGGUUAAGUCCCGCAACGAGCGCAACCCUUAUUGUUAGUUGCCAUCAUUUAGUUGGGCACUCUAGCAAGACUGCCGGUGACAAACCGGAGGAAGGUGGGGAUGACGUCAAAUCAUCAUGCCCCUUAUGACCUGGGCUACACACGUGCUACAAUGGGAAGUACAACGAGUCGCGAAGUCGCGAGGCUAAGCUAAUCUCUUAAAGCUUCUCUCAGUUCGGAUUGUAGGCUGCAACUCGCCUACAUGAAGCCGGAAUCGCUAGUAAUCGCGGAUCAGCACGCCGCGGUGAAUACGUUCCCGGGUCUUGAACACACCGAA